RNAcentral lists this transfer RNA (78 nucleotides) under Candidatus Glassbacteria bacterium RIFCSPLOWO2_12_FULL_58_11. RNAcentral's name for it is "tRNA-Pro". It matches the Rfam family "tRNA". From Rfam's summary of the family: Transfer RNA (tRNA) molecules are approximately 80 nucleotides in length. Their secondary structure includes four short double-helical elements and three loops (D, anti-codon, and T loops). Further hydrogen bonds mediate the characteristic L-shaped molecular structure. tRNAs have two regions of fundamental functional importance: the anti-codon, which is responsible for specific mRNA codon recognition, and the 3' end, to which the tRNAs corresponding amino acid is attached (by aminoacyl-tRNA synthetases). tRNAs cope with the degeneracy of the genetic code in two manners: having more than one tRNA (with a specific anti-codon) for a particular amino acid; and 'wobble' base-pairing, i.e. permitting non-standard base-pairing at the 3rd anti-codon position. Lineage: Bacteria; Candidatus Glassiibacteriota. The record is from RNAcentral.
CGGGGCGUGGCGCAGUCCGGCUAGCGCGCCUGCUUUGGGAGCAGGAGGCCGCCGGUUCGAAUCCGGCCGCCCCGACCA